AAUAGAUACCCCGGUAGUCCACGCCGUAAACGAUGAGUGCUAAGUGUUAGGGGGUUUCCGCCCCUUAGUGCUGCAGCUAACGCAUUAAGCACUCCGCCUGGGGAGUACGACCGCAAGGUUGAAACUCAAAGGAAUUGACGGGGGCCCGCACAAGCGGUGGAGCAUGUGGUUUAAUUCGAAGCAACGCGAAGAACCUUACCAGGUCUUGACAUCCCAAUGACCGCUCUAGAGAUAGAGUUUUCCCUUCGGGGACAUUGGUGACAGGUGGUGCAUGGUUGUCGUCAGCUCGUGUCGUGAGAUGUUGGGUUAAGUCCCGCAACGAGCGCAACCCUUAUUCUUAGUUACCAUCAUUUAGUUGGGCACUCUAAGGAGACUGCCGGUGACAAACCGGAGGAAGGUGGGGAUGACGUCAAAUCAUCAUGCCCCUUAUGACCUGGGCUACACACGUGCUACAAUGGACGGUACAAAGAGCUGCGAACCCGCGAGGGUAAGCCAAUCUCAUAAAAACCGUUCUCAGUUCGGAUUGUAGUCUGCAACUCGACUAC
Molecule: ribosomal RNA, 545 nt
Filed under: uncultured bacterium
Lineage: Bacteria
Description: bacterial SSU rRNA
Rfam family: Bacterial small subunit ribosomal RNA
Source: RNAcentral